RNAcentral lists this ribosomal RNA (253 nucleotides) under uncultured bacterium. RNAcentral's name for it is "partial 16S ribosomal RNA". It matches the Rfam family "Bacterial small subunit ribosomal RNA", at positions 524 to 776 of the family's 1533-position model. The record is from RNAcentral.
UACGUAGGGCGCAAGCGUUAUCCGGAAUUAUUGGGCGUAAAGAACUCGUAGGCGGUUUGUCGCGUCUGCCGUGAAAGUCCGGGGCUCAACUCCGGAUCUGCGGUGGGUACGGGCAGACUAGAGUGAUGUAGGGGAGACUGGAAUUCCUGGUGUAGCGGUGAAAUGCGCAGAUAUCAGGAGGAACACCGAUGGCGAAGGCAGGUCUCUGGGCAUUAACUGACGCUGAGGAGCGAAAGCACGGGGAGCGAACAGG